CCCUCCUUCCCUAUUUAUAGGGACACUCCACCGACUUAGCCCAUCUUCUAGGAGUUUCUUUUACAAUUUUUUUUUCUAGAAAAAUAGGCUUUUUAAAGGUAAAUAUCUCUGCCAUUUUUAGAGAUAAUUCCAUAGAGUCUUCUAGAGUUUUUCUUGAAAUUUCUAGCUCAUAUUUAUCUUGAAGUUUCUAGAAAAUUGGAUCAAUAAUUUAACACUCCUCCUUGAUCCAAUUUCAUGCUACUCCGAGCAUUUCCCGCAAUAUCUCGAACUUGGCUCGCGAUAGUGCUUUAGUGAAGAUUUCGGCUACUUGUUCCUCGGUUUUGCAAUAUUUCAGCUUGAUCUCUUUGUUAUAUUGCACCUUUCGUAUGAAGUGAUAUUUGAUGUCGAUAUGUUUGGUUCUUCAAUGGAAUACUGAAUUCUUUGAUAUAGCGAUUGCAGACUUAUUGUCGCAAAGUAUUGGAGUUGAUUCCAUCUGUGCUUCUCUAAUGUCUUCUAGAAUUCUUCAAAGCCAUACUGCUUGACUGGUGGUUGUAGUAGCUGCAAUGUAUUCAGCUUCUGUGGUAGACUGUGCCACCAAGUCUUGUUUUUUGGAUGCCCAUGAGAAUAUUUCAGAACCUAGAGUGAAUGCAUAGCCAAUUGUACUUUUCCUAUCAUCAGCUGAACUAGCCCAGUUGCUAUCAGUGUAGCCAAUGAACUUGGCGUUAGCACUUGGGCGAUACCAAAUGCCGUAAUCUAUAGUUCCUCGUAAAUAUCUGAGAAUUCUCUUGGCAGCUCCAGAGUGAAUUUGACUCGGACUUUGCAUGAAUCGUGAUAGUAGACUUGUUGCAUACAUAAUAUCCAGUCGUGUAGCAGUGAGAUAUAGCAGACUGCCGAUCAAACUUCUAUAGAGGGAGGCAUCGGCUUUUUCUGCUCCAUCUUCCUUCAAUAGUUUUUCAUUUGUCAUGAGCAGGGUUGAAACUGCUUUGCAAUAGUUCAUCUUGAAUUUCUUUAAGAGAUUCUCGAUAUAUUUUUUCUGCGAGAUAAAAAUUCCUUCAUCUUGAUUGACUUCAAACCGAGGAAAUAGUUCAUCAAGCCCAAGUCCGUCAUUUCAAAUGUUUUCAUCAUUUCUUCUUUGAAUUCUUGGAUCAUUGUCUCAUUAUUUCCUAUAUAUAUGAGAUCAUCUACAUAUAGAGAGACAAUGAGAGUGUCGAACUCCCCUUGGGUCUUGAUGUAGAGUGUUGGCUCACUUAUACUCCUCCUGAAUCCUUGCUUGAUGAAGUACUCAUCAAUUCUACUAUACCACGCACGUGGUGCUUGUUUUAACCCAUAUAAGGCUUUCUUGAGUUUGAGAACUUUUUCUUCUUGGCCUAUUACAGUAAAGCCUUGUGGUUGUUCCACAUAUAUUUCUUCUUGAAGAUAUCCAUUUAAAAAUGCCGACUUCACAUCUAGUUGAUGGAUAUUCCAUUCUUUUUGUGCCGCUAAGGCUAUAAGUGCUCAAAUAGUAUCAAGGCGAGCGAUGGGAGCAAAAGUUUCAGUAUAGUUGAUACCUGGUUGUUGCAAGUAUCCUUUCGCCACAAGCCUUGCUUUAUGCUUCUGGAUUGAUUCCGCAUUGAGCUUCGUCUUAUAGACCCACUUGACACCAAUGAUCUCUUUGUCUUCGGGUCGAUCGACAAGCUCCCAAGUUUCAUUUUUCUCAAUCAUCUUGAUCUCUUCCUCCAUGGCUUUUAUCCAGACUUCAUCUUUGGAUGCUUGUUCGUAGUUUUCUGGUUCCAAAAUAGCAAAGCUGCAUGUGUCAUAAAUUCUUCUAAGGGCUUUUACCCUUAGUACUGGAGACUCUGGAGUAGAUUCUUCUUGCGUUACUCUUGGAGAGCUUGGUGGAGUUAUGUCAUGAGUGGUGGAAUCCGGUACUUCUCCUUCUUCUUGUGACGUUGACUCCUCUUGAGCAGGUGGUAUGUCUAGCAAGGUGAUAUACUUCUUCUUGAUCUUCUCAUCCUCCCAAUUCCAGGCAGCAUUCUUGUCGAACUCGACGUCUUGACUAAUCAUAAGCUUCUUAGUUCUUAGGUUGUAAAUCCGAUAGCCUUUUGAUUGGUCAUUGUAGCCAAGGAAUAUUCCUUUUUCUGUCUUUUCAUCUAGCUUACUCAUUUUUUGAGCAGGGAUGUGGACGUAGCAAAUGCAUCCAAACACUUUGAGAUGCUUUGCUGAAGGCUUCCGUCCACUCCAUGCUUUGACUGGAGUUUUAUUUUGAACUACUUUAGUUGGACACUUGUUUAGUAGGUUUACAACAGUAUAAACUGCUUCUGCCCAGAAAGUGUUGGGAAGGCCUUUCUCCUUUAGCAUAGACCUUGCCAUCUCCAUGACGGUUCUAUUUUUUCUUUCAGCUACUCCAUUUUGUUCUAGGGCGUAGCCAACGAUUAGUUGAUGACGGACUCCUUCAUCUUCACAAAAUUUAUUAAACUCCUUUGAAUUGUAUUUUGUGCCUCUGUCACUCCUUAGGACUUUGAUUCUUUGGCCACUUUGAUUCUCGACGUGGUUCUUGAAUUUUCUAAAGAUAGAGAAAACCUCAGAUCUUUCUUGAAGAAAGUAUACCCAUGUCAUUCUUGUGUAAUCAUCAAUGAAUAGGAUGAAAUAUUUAUUUUGACUAGGUGUAGGUGUCCUCAUCGGACCGCACACGUCUGUGUGGACAAGUUCCAAUGGCUCCUUAGCUUUCCAAGCAACUCCAGAUGGGAAGGACUGUCUCUGUUGUUUUCCAAGAAGACAGCCUUCACAAACAUCCGAAAUUUCUGUGAUGGCUGGAAAAUCUCUCAUCAUAUUUUUCUGAUGGAGAAUUUUUAGCCUAGCAAAAUUGAAGUGGCCAAAUCUUCGAUACCAUAGCCAUGAAUCAUCAAGUUGAGCUUUCAUGGCUAUAUCUUUGACAUAUUUCCAUUGAAUAGGAAAAUUGUUAUUUUUCAUCUUAUGGCAAUGAGAUUUUUAUAUUUAUCAUAGAUAAUGCAGGUAUCUCUAUUAAAAUAUAGAGAAUACCCACUUUGUAUCAUUUGGCCCACACUUUAAGAGAUUUUGUGCAAGACGAGAGACUAGAUAUACAUUAUGUAUAUAUUUUGGGCUUUUAUUCGUUUCCACAGCGAUGGUGCCUUUUCCUUUGACAUCUACUAAUGCACCAUUGCCCAACUUUACUUGGGAUUUCACUGACUUAUCAAUAUUAGUGAAUAUAGAUUCGUCCCCUGUCGCGACCUAAAUUUUCGGGUGCACCACCUAAAACUAGGUUAAUGGACUACUAAGUUUUUACACUUAGCUCGGGCUCUCCCAAGCCCAUACCAAAUCGCGACUUAAGUCUAAAUUUUUAAACAUGCAAGAGGUUAUUAUCUAGGAGUCGCCACUAAUCGGUUUAUGGUAGGUCGAUUAGACACCUAAGUAAAAUAAAUGGAGAUUUAUUUUACUCCUACGAACCAGAGACUGAGGGUACGGAGACUUGGUUACACUAGAAUUUUCUAAUGCCCUUUCGGUACCAUUUCUUUUUAAUUUUUCAAAAUGUUUUUGCAAGUAGAUUUAUUUUAACCUAAAUUACUAUCAUGCAAAUGUGGUGAUCACACGGGUGCUCAUCCAUUAUUUAAAACAUUCAAAUAAAUAAAUUGCAUCACACAAAGCAAGUAAUCAUUUUUUUUUGGAUUUUCUUAAAAUUGGAGUUCUUUUAUAAAAAUGCAUUUUUUUAACUAAAUGCCUUAAUCCUAUUAAUAUGCAAAUUCUAAUUAAAUGGGUCAAUUAUGCAAAUUAAUUAACAUGCACCUCAUGACCUAAUUUUACUAAUGAACAAAUUCUGAUUAAAUGCCUCUAUUAUGCGAACUAGUUAACAUGUGCCUAGUAUUUUUGCAAUUUUUUUUAUUGGAAUUCAAAAUUUAUGAAAACCCUAAUAAACCUAUCUAAAAAGGGAUAAUUUUCUAAUUUAUUCUAGGGAUUAAUUUGACUUAAACCCUAUCCUAUCUCAGAAAACUAUUUUUUUAUUUUAAAAAAAAAGAGAAUGAGAAUAUGAAAAUGUGCCGAUUAUAUCUAAGACUCUAAAAAGGCUAUUUAAGUCUAAUCCUAACUUAUUUUUUAAAAUAUCUAAAAAUGCAGUCCUAAAAAUAUAAUCCUAAAAAUUUGAUUAAUUAAACCUAGAUGUCUAUUAUAUUAACCUUAAUGUCCUAAGCUCAUGCAAAGUUUUUUUGAAUAUUUUGAUUUUUGAUUUUUUAGUUUCUUUUUAGUUUUUUUUUUAAAGUUGAAUAAUUGUUAAACAAUGGUUAAAUCUAAACAAUUAAUAUAAUCACUAAAUAAAGGAUCAAAAUAAUCGGAAAAAUAACCUGACGUCUCACAGGUUAAAUUAAUAAUUAUUCUAACCCUAAUCACCACAAUAACUUAAAAUAAUUAAAAAAUCUAGUCCGAAGUCUUACGGACCAAAUUAAAUAAUUAUUAUGAUUUAACAAUUGAGAUUCUACCAAAAAGCCCAAAAAUUAAAAAAUAAUUAGAAAAAUGACCCGAUGUCUCUCGGAUCAAAUUAAUAAUUAUAUUAAUUUCGGACAAAAUUCCUACGGAUAAUGCAUACUAAAUUUACUAAUAUUAACAUCCACCAUUACAAAUUAAAUACCUAAACUAAAAAUGCUAUCAAAUGAAAUAAGCAAAAAUAACGUAACAAAUAAAAUAAACUAAACUAUAAAAGUAAAACAAAAUAAAAUAAAAAGAACAAAAAACUACCUAAAGGUAAAAGGGGGGUAAACCGGACAGCGCUGGCCUGUCGUCGGGGCUUCGGCGGGGAGCGGCUGCAGGUGGACGGCGGCAGGCUUGAGCUCGGGGCAGCAGAGAUCGGUGGAGCAAGGGCACAGCGCGGGGUCUGUUGGGGCAGAGAAGGGUCGCGGCGACAGGGCGCGGGCUGAGGCGCGGUGGCGGAGUCGUCUGCGGUGCGGGGCUCGGGCGGAGGCGCGGUGGCGGAGUCGUCUGCGGUGCGGGGCUCGGGUCCAGGCGCGAGGGGCUGUUGGCUACAGAUUCGACGGCGUCGACGGUUGCGAUGGUGGGCGCGAAGAGCGAACCGGCGAGGUGGCGAGGCGCGACGGUGGCCGGCGUCGUGGUGCAGGCGCGGGCACGGGCUGGUGUCCACGUGAAGAAGAAGAACAGUUGCUGCUGCUGCUUUUUUUUUUUUUUUUUUCUGUCUCCUCACACGACGUCUCUCUGCUGUACCUUUCUGCAGAAACCAAAACUCACUUUUGGUGGACUUUGACUCAUGCAAAAAGGAAAAAUGAACAAUAGAAAUAGAAGAUGAUCCCCUUUGUACGAAUUCUCUUCCCUAUUUUUUUUAGCUCUCGCUCACUUUUCUUUUUCCUUGCACUUCUGCAGAUUGUCAGAAGAGAAGAAAAAUGACUUUUCUUGGACGACAAAGGAGGUUUCCUCUUCUUCUUUUUUCACUUUCACGAAUUCUCUCGGGUUUUCUUCUCACGAAAAUUUUCACAAAUUCCCCCAAUUUUUUCGCACCCCCCAACCUUGUGCAAGUCAACUCCUUUUUAUAAUGUUUUCGCACGACCACUUUCUAUGGUAAAUUUCAAACUUCCAUCUUCUAUUGCAUUAAAUUAAGAAUGCAAAUCGGGGCAUGAUUUCGCAAUUAGCUCGAUUUUGCGCCGAUUCCUUCCAUUUUAUAAAAAUCCUUGCCCUUUAUUUACCUAAUUUUAAAAUUGUUUCUGCAUUUAACAAAAUCUGAAUAUUCAUCAGAAUUUUAAAAUUCCAUGCAUAAUCAAUCAAAUCAAUCUCCCUCAUUUUUUUUUUCAUUUUUUCCUUUUAUUUGUUCCAAUGCAAUUUUUAUUUUCUUUAUUUUCCUAGAUUUGCUAAAAAUAGGUGUCAACAGCUGCCCCUCUUUGAAGGUGAACUCGUAGAUGUUGCAUUCAAAGACAAGUUGAGACCUAAAUGUUAAUCAUGCAGAUGUACUGAAUGACUACUCUUUUUUUUUUGGAAGAUGAGUCCCAUUUUGAAAUGAAAUUUAUAUGAUGCAUGGAAAUGCUAAUGCAAAUGAUAAAGGAACUUACCUGGAAUUACUUACCUUAGGGGAUGGUAGAGUAACUCAAGAUAGAUUGGUAUUACAUGUCCAGGACCCGUACCAUUCUACGGUCGCCCAAAAUAGUAACAUGGCUUCGUAAAGAGAUUACUUUCCUAGGACCCGUACCAUUCUACGGUCGCCUAGAAUAGUAACACGACUUCACAAAGUGACUGCUUUCCCAGGACCCGUACCAUUCUACGGUCGCCUAGAAUAGUAACACGACUUCACAAAGUGACUGCUUUCCCAGGACCCGUACCAUUCUACGGUCGCCUGAAUGAUGAAAUUGCUCUUCCAGGACCCGUACUAUUCUACGAUCGCCUGUUAGAGCAAUAAAUGUUGUCUAGGACCCGUACCAUUCUACGGUCGCUUAAACUGGGAUUGUUUGGUUGUGUCUAGGACCCGUACCAUUCUACGGUCGCCUAAACUGGGAUUCUUUUUCAGGACCCGUACCAUUCUACGGUCGCCUGAAUAAGGAAUAGGUGUUGUCAAGGACCCGUACCAUUCUACGGUCGCCUGUUAGAGCAAUAAAUGUUGUCUAGGACCUGUACUAUUCUACGGUCGCCUAGACUAAGGUUUUGCUUGGCUAGGACUCGAACCAUUCUUCGGUCGCCCAGCCUUUCGACAGAAAUCAUCCGACCAGGACCCGAACCAUUCUUCGGCCGCCUUAAUCAGAUUGAAUCUGGAGGAAAAAUCUUUGGGGGACAACUCAAUUAAGUGUCGGUAUGCUUAAAAGGGAAUACCUGUGCAAUAACAAAUAUUCAAGGUAUGGAUAGAGAUGUACUUACCUGGUAACAUCUCCGAUCUUCGAAGAUACGUCUCCUGCAAAACAUGGUCAUAGGAGAAGCAACAUGCAUUUGUAAUCAUAAACAUGCAUCAAUAUAAUGGAGGUUCAUGAUGAUUUCCAUUAAUCUUGCAUCACCUAAUUUCCAUUGGGAAGUAUCUUAAAAGAUAUUCCAAUCUGAACACAUGAGUGUCAUCGAUGUGUCAAAUAAGGGAUCUUUUGGUCUGAAAGGACUUUUCUCUCAUCCUUAUCAAAAGGGUUGUUUCAUCCUGACCUUUGACGCAGGAUUUUAACAAUCACUCUAUCUCACUAUCAUCAUGCUAAACAAGGUUUUGUGCAAUCUCGCAAGUGAUACGACCUUACCAAUCUGAGAGGUCUUGAACAAGGACCGUAAUGUGGGCUUGGUCAACGGCUUAACAAAAGGGACUUUUUGAGUCGAGGCUUUUGAAAGAAUGAGUGAUAUUCUGUAAUCAUCUCUGGGUUUACAAGUCAAGAACCCUGCAAAAUGAGAGAAGAAUAAUCUUGCUCGCACUUCUUUGAGCGAUGCUUAAACAUGUGAACUCCUAGGUUAAUUCAAGUGCCCUAAUCAGAAGAGACUUUGCAAAGGACGUAACGUAGGCUUGGUUCAUGGGUUGAGAAAUGAAAGGAUCAUUAGGCUCAAAAAGUGUUUAGGGGAGGGUCAAAGUUGGUGAUCAUCUUGACAUUUUCACCACUUUCCUUCUCCACUGUCAAAGAUUUUUAUCACAACUCUAUUGAUUGCAACAACAUUUGAGAGGUUUUUUUUUUUUUUUUUUUUUUGGCAUUGGCCUUGCUCUUACCAGGCACACUGCUUUUUCAUGCCCCAUUAUUUUGCACUUAUUUUUUUGAACUUGCACAACCAUCCUUUGCAGCAUUCUAAACCAUGUUACUUGAAUGGUUCUUUUUGCCUUGCCCCAGUGUGGGGGAUGAUCACCAACUGGGUUUAAUAUGAAAUAAAUUCAUAGGCUCAAGUGGGCUAUGCAAUGGAUAAAAGUGUAUAGGAUAAAGAAAUAACUGCUCUUCGUCAUCCUAAGGCACUUCAAAUUACCGUACGAGUUACACUGCAAAAGCAAUAUUCGAAGAUUGAUGCAAGUGGGAGCAAGAAGAUUCCUACCAUUCAUUUCAAAUUUGUCCCAAUGUGGGAUGAUUCUUGACAGGAAUAAUUUUAAAAAAUCUCCAUAAGUGUAUGGGGCUCAAAGGGGUUGAGCAAUGGAUCACCUAUAGUGUUUGUGAUAGAGAAACGAAUGCCUCUCAUUACCUUGGUUGACGUACCAUUUGCGAGAUAGCCCUAUUCCUUGUGGGCAUGGAAUUUUUCACACAACUCACUAGGGGUUAGUGUAUGAAACAGUGUAUGGAACAAGGCUUGCCUUUCGUCAUUCCAAAGUACUUUAUUUGACACAUUCAAUUCAUCUCACACAAUUCAUCAGGGAAAAUAUGCAAUAUUUGCAACAAAUUUGAAUAAUUGAACUCAUUGAAGCAAUUUAUUGAUCAUUGAAAUGCUUGCAGUUCAAAACAUGACAUGGCAAAAUUCUAUCAUGGAUAAUACUUCUUGACAGCAUCUGAAUUAACAGGAGUGGAAAACUCACGACCAUCCAUUUCUGCCAAUAUUAAGGCAUCGCCGGGAAAUAUCUUCUUUACCACAUAUGGGCCGCUGUAAUUUGGAGCAAACUUGCCUCCAGGAUCUGGAAAGAUCGGCAACAGCUUCCUUAGGACUAGGUCAUUUACCUCAAAAUGCCUUGGCCGCACCUUCCGAUUGAAAGAUCUGGCUAUUCUCUGUUGAUAUGCUUGGCCAUGACAGAGAGCUUUUAGUCUUUUCUCGUCGAUCAAGUUCAAUUGCUCGAAUCUUUGUUGUGACCAUUCUGCCUCAGAUAACUCCACUUGGGAUAAAACCCUCAGAGAAGGAAUCUCCACUUCUACAGGUAGAACUGCCUCCAUGCCGUACACCAAAGCGAACGGGGUUGCUCUAGUGGAAGUGCGGAUUGAUGUCCGGUAUGCCAUUAGUGCGAAGGGUAGCCUGUCAUGCCAAUCUCGAUAAUUCACGGCUGUCUUAGCCAAAAUCUUCUUAAUGUUCUUAUUGGCCGCUUCAACAGCCCCAUUCAUUUGAGGGUGGUAAGGAGACGAAUUCAGAUGCUUGAUUUUGAAUUCUCUGAACAACUCAUCAACAAGUUUGUUGUUCAAAUUGGUCCCAUUAUCGGUGAUGAUUGCUUUAGGGACACUAUAGCGAGCAAUUAUGUCACGUUUGACAAACUUCACAACAUUACGAGCAGUGACACUUGCAAAGGAUGUAGCUUCGAUCCAUUUGGAGAAAUAGUCUAUUGCCACCAAAAUGAAUCGAUGUCCAUUUGAAGCCUUGGGAUUGAUUGGGCCAAUCACAUCAAUACCCCACAUCAAGAAAGGCCAUGGCUCUGAAAACUGAUGCAGCUCGGUUGGAGGAACAUUUAUCUUAUUUCCAUGAAUCUGGCAACGGUGACAACUUCGAACAUGCCGGAUGCAGUCACUUUCCAGUGUGAGCCAAUAGUAGCCUGACCUCAUAAUCUUCUUGGCUAACAUAUGUCCAUUCAUAUGGGGGCCACAUACUCCUUCGUGCACUUCUUGCAUGAUUUGAGUGGCUUCGACUGCAUCUAUACAUCGCAACAAGACAGAAUCGUAAGAUCUCUUAUACAAAUUCUCACCACUGACGAAAAAUUUCGAAGCCAUCUUCAUGAUAUACUUCCUAUCAGCCUGAGUACUUCCUUCGGGGAAUUCCUGCUUCUUAAUGUAAUUCAUGAUAUCGUAAUAUCAUGAUUUUCCAUCAGGUUCCUCAGUCACAAUCAUACAAUAAGCUGGCUUCGGCAAAACUUCUAUUUUCAGGGGUUCAACGUCCAACCCAUCAGUGACUUGCAGCAUAGAGGACAACGUCGCAAGUGCGUCUGCAAAUUGAUUAUGAGACCUCGGUAAGUAUUGAAACGAAACUUCCUCGAAUUCUUUCACCAGAUUUUCCAAAUACUUAUGGUAUGGGAGUAACUUGGCAUCUUUGGUCUUCCAUUCUCCCACGGUCUGCAGUAUGAUUAGUGCGGAAUCUCCGAACACUUUUAACUUAGCCACACCCAUCUCAAUUGCUGCUUGAAGCCCAAUGAUGCAAGCUUCAUACUCGGCCACAUUGUUAGUGCAUGGAAAUAUCAAUUUUGCAGCUACCGGAUGGUGUUGUCCAUCUGGAGAUAUCAGAACCGCUCCAGUACCCGAACCGGAUAGGUUUACAGCUCCAUCAAAGAACAUCUUCCAUGAGUCUUCAUUUACACUCAAGACAUGGUCAUCAAGGAAACUGUCAUCAUCAUUAGGGACUCUUGAAUUCUCGGCCAAUAGAUCAGCGAUCGCUCGGCCCUUAAUCGAAUUUUGUGGCAUGAAUUGCACAUCAAAUUCAGAGAUCAAGAUUUGCCAUUUGGCUAACUUACCCACCAAAGCUGGUCGAUCAAGUAAGUACUUGAUAGGGUUGUUCUCAGUCACGAGGAAUGUCUGAUAAUGUAGGGUGUAUUGUCACAACCUAUGCAACACCCACACCAAUGCCACACAAGUCUUUUCAACCUCAGAAUACUUCAACUCUGAUACGGUAAACUUCUUGCUGAGGUAAUAAAUUGCCCGUUCUUUUCUAUCAACAGGACUUUCUUGAGCCAACAUUGCGCCCAAUGACUCACUAUGAAUAGUGAGGUAGAGAAUCAAAGGAUGCCCUGGUGAGGGUGGGACAAGAACUGGUGGAUUCAUCAAGUAUUGCUUCAGCUUGUUGAACGCUUCUUGACACUCAUCAUCCCAGUUGACUUGUGCAUUCUUCUUUCGAAGCUUGAAGAAUGGCUUGGUAGUUUCAGAGAGUUGAGAAAUGAACCUCGCUAUGUAAUUCAAUCUCCCUAAAAGGCUCCAGACUUCUUUCACCGUUGAUGGAGGUUGCAAUUCACAUAUGGCCUUAGCUUUGGAAGGGUCGAUCUCAAUCCCUUUACUGCUCACAAUAAAUCCGAGUAAUUUACCGGAUGUUGCUCCAAACACGCAUUUAGCGGGAUUUAGGCGAAGCUUGAACUCACGAAGUCGAUCGAACAACUUCUUCAAUGUUUCGAUGUGGCUUCUUCCUGGUCGGGUCUUUGUAAUCAUAUCAUCAACAUAGACUUCAAUCUCCUUAUGCAUCAUAUAAUGAAAUAAUGCAACCAUGGCUCGCUGGUAGGUUGCCCCUGCAUUCUUGAGUCCGAAAGGCAUGACUUUAUAAUGAAAGGUUCCCCAUGGGGUAAUAAAUGCAGUCUUUUCCUUAUCUUCCUCCUUCAUCCUUAUCUGAUUGUAUCCAGAAAAACCAUCCAUAAAUGAGAAUAGUUCAAAGCCAGCAGUACUAUCGACAAGGACAUCUAUGUGUGGUAAUGGGAAAUCAUCCUUCGGACUAGCCUUGUUUAGAUCCCGAUAGUCAACGCAAACUCGAACUCGACCGUCCUUCUUCAUCACUGGUACGAUAUUAGCCACCCAUUCAGGGUACUGUGAGACUUCAAUAAACCCCACAUUCAAAAGCUUCAUCACCUCUUCCUCUAUCUUCUUUGAGAGUUCGGGCUUAGUCCUCCGCAGCCUUUGCUUCUUAGGUGGCACAUCUGGAUUAGUAGGUAAGCAAUGCUCCACGAUUGACGGGUCUAGUCCAGGCAUGUCAGCGUAGGUCCACGCAAAAAUGUCUUGAUAUUCCUUCAGUAAUUGAAUUAGGUGCUCAGUCUCAUCUUUGGGGAGACCCGCCCCAAUUUUCACCUCUUUGGCUUCUUCAAUGUCACUCAAAUUAAUAGUGACAGUCUGCUCAGAUGUGAGAGCCUUAACUCUUUCAUGUUGUUCCCAGCUAUAUUGCGCUUCAAUAGAGUCUUUGAUCGAGUCUUCAGGAUCAUCAUCAUUAGCACUUGUUGCAGUGGAUUGGACUAUUUCCACAUCUUUGCAUGCUAUAGGAUUGUUCUCUCGAGGGCCAAGGCCCAUCUCUUCAUGGGGUCCUUCAUUAAUGGCUCCUAUGAUGAGGUUGUCGAAUAAGCUUGCGACUCCUUCCAGCUCAUCAUUAGGGUUCCCUGCUUUUGGGGGUGUCAGAUCAUCCAUGCCACCCCAUCCAUCUGGGACUAUCUCACUAGGAUCAAUGUAGUAGCUAGGAGGGGUUGAAUACUUCACCAGGUAAUCAAACUUGCCACUAGGCUGCCCCAAAGUGUCUAUCACUUCCGCUUCUUCAUGCAUCAUUCUUGGAGGACCAGGGAAUGUCUCGUGAAUGCUCGGAGGUAGUGGGUUUUGCCUCCCUCGCCCUUGGUCAGGUGGCGAGCUCCGCCUUUCUUGUCUUCGUCCUUCAGAACCUCCUCCACCUCGUCCAUGGUACCCUAAACCAGCAGAACGGGACCUCUAAGGGGCUUCAAUGGGGCUUCGAAUGCCCUGACCAUUUCUCCCAAGACCAUUUCCAGGGACGAAACCAUUCACGACCAUUACUCUUCCCACCAUGAGAGUAGCAUCUGAUACUUCAGGGGUAAGCGGUGAUGAACCCCGAGAAGCAUGUAUGGUGGACACCAAUUCGAAUGAGUGGUAACUUGAUUCAACCUGGGAAUCCGACUCUACAUAGGGGAUAGCCGUCUCAUGAUAGAUCCAGUGGUCUUCCUCACCAUACACAGUGACCAACUUCUUUUCGAUCACAAAUUUCACAGCUUGAUGUAGACUUGAAGGUACUGCUCCAGCAGUGUGUAUCCAGGGACGACCUAGCAAGAAAUUGAAUGCGGUAGGGAUGUCCAGCACUUGGAAGGGAAUGUUGAAGAUGACCGGCCCUAUUUGGACAUCGAGAUGGAUUUCCCCAAUCACCUCCUUUUUUGUUCCAUCGAAAGCUCGCACCGAAGUUUUCGCAGCAUGUAUCCUUGACGGGUCUACCUUGAGGCGGUGAAGAGUGGCCAACGGACAAAUGUUCAGAGCGGACCCAUUAUCGAUGAGCACUCGGGACAUAUGAGAAGACUUGUGCUUAACGGAUAUGUAGAGUGCUUUGUUAUGUCCCCUGCCUUCAAGAGGGAAUUCCUCAUCAGAGAAGGCAAUUAAAUCCUUGAGAAGGACCGAUCCCACGAAUUCUUCCAGCUUGUCAGCUUCCACGAUCUCUGGCACACGGAUUUCGCUCAACACCUUCAUUAGUGACUUUUGAUGCACGGGGGAUGUCAUCAAGAGCUCAAGUAGGGAGAUCUGAGCGGGCAACUUUCGUAAUUAGUCAACCACGUUAUACUCGCUUGCUUUGAUUACGGCCAGAAAUUCCUUAGCCUCUUCAUCAGUGACCGGCUUUACAGGUUGAGUACUGGCUUGACCAUAAGUCCGUCCAAACCUUGUAACAAGGUCCACAUCCAGGUCAUAAGACCAAGGCACUGCCUUAUUAGUGACAUACUCAUACGGCUGAGGCACCUCUAUCACUAUCUCUUCGUCAGAUGCAUCCUCUAAUGGGGGCAUGUCUUCAAGCGAAGGAUCAACCUCUUUCUUGUCAGCAUCAAGUGUAGCUUGCUCCUCCUCCCAAUCGAUGAUGAGGUGGGAGAUAGUAGAAACUAUGCAGUUAUGAUCAGCAUACACAAUAAUGCCGUCAUCUACCAUUUUGGCAACUCUUUCUCUCAUCACCGAUAGAGGGACAUCUUCCUGACCUCGGUAAUACCCAGCUCUCACUAGCCCGUUGUAGGCAUCUGCCACGUGCACCUUUGAAUUCCUGAUCCGUCCAACUUCAGGUUCCAGGAUAGCAUUCACUGUACCAUCAUGCUCUGGUAGCGGAUUUUUUUGAACGUUCGGCCGAGCAGUCUGAAAUGAAAAGGCCUUUGUAUCCAGGAGAUUUUGGAUUUUGUGCUUGAGGGUGAAACAUUCAUCAGUUGAAUGCCCCAGUUCACCGUUAUGGUAGUCACACUUCUUCGUUGGGUCUUAACCACGAAUGCCUUCACGGUUAGGGCGCUUUGGUUCACUAGUAAGCAAAUCCUUUUUUCGGAGGACUGUCAGCACUUGGGAUGGAGAUCCAGGGAGAGGGGAGAAAUGCCUUCUAUUAUUCGCUUGGGCGAAUGAUUGACGGCCAGCGGGUUGUUGCUGUCUUGGGUUCACCUGUAUAGCUGGGGCACAUUUGGCACUUUCUUGGCUAUAAGCCACGUUUACAUCCACAGCCGCUUCCUUCUCCUUCUUGGUAGAGAACCUUUUAGUAGAUGGCUCAGAAAACCAUCCUUCCCUUAUCCCCAUCUCGAUCUGUUCUCCUACAGGAAUAAGCUGAUUGAAGCUCUCAACAUAUGUACUGGCCAUUCGAUUACGGAACUCAGAUGGAAGGGUCUUCACGAACAACUUCAUCAACUCCUUGUUGGUAGGCUCAGGAGUAAUUUGAGCCGCCAAGUUUCUCCAUCUCACAUCAUAUUCUUUAAAUGACUCACUCCUUUUCUUUUCCAUCCGCUCCAGGUCUUCUCGGGAAGGCGCGAUGUCCAUGUUGAACUUGUACUGUUUAAGGAAUGCGUCCGCCACUUCGUUCCAGGUUUCAAGGAGGUUUACGUUCUUCAUCACGUACCAGUUUAGUGCGGGCCCGGUCAAACUCGCAUGAAACGAUUGGAUCAUAAGGGGCUCAUUUUUGACAUGCUGGGCCAUGCGCACAUGGUACAUUUGCAAAUGAGACUUUGGACAGGAUGUCCCGUCAUACCUCUCAAACUCUGGCAUUUUGAACUUGCUCGGCAUUUUAACCUUCUCAUAGAUUGAGAGGUCAAACGGGAGUGAGCUUUGAGACUCCUGCAACUGUCUCACUUUCUCUUCCAGCUUUGCAACGCGCCCAUCCUAAUCUGUCUUGGGAACCAUGUCAUCUUCCAGUUCGGGCAUUUCGUCAUCACUCAUUUGGGCCCUAUUUGCUUGCCUUGGGACUACUAUCUCGGGGAGAGCAGGUGGAGGAAUUGGGUUCACUUGGAGGGAUUGGAGUUGAGCUGUUACAAGCUGUAAGGAAACGGCUAAUUGUUUGAGUUGAUCUUCCACGGAGGACAUGCAAUCACGCAUCUCGCCUUGGUCGGCCAUUCUUGCUCUUAAUCGUGUGAUGAUGGGUGAGCGUAGAGGAUCCGUUGUUACCUAAAACAAAGAGGUAAUGUAAGAACCAAUGACAAGAUAGAAAAUGGCCCAUGACAACGGUCUAAUCGCCUGAUUUUUAUUCAAAAUUCACUAGAAACAUUAAACUAAACAAUGAACUAAGAAUUGAAAUUUAAGUCCCUAAACAUUGAACUAAAAAUUGAAUUGAAAAUUGAAAUCAAGCUCCCUAGACAUUGGACUACGAAUCAAAAUUCAAAAGAUCUCAUUUUAUAUGCUUUCGGGAUUUCAACGCCUUGCGAAGCUUUUUAUUUUCAGCUUCAAUCAUUUCCACUUUCCGCUUAAGAUGCUCAAUUUGUACUCGUUGAGUGGGCUUCUUGGUCACAUCAGGGACCACUGGACGUAAGGCCGCAGGAAUCCGGUGCUGUUGAAUGUAGAAUGCCGACGCAUGGUGGACCUCUUCUUCGCCUUUCAGUCUUUUGGGCACCAAAAUCUUCUCUAGGUGGCAUUCAUUCCAUGCGGCAAUGAUCAUCUGAAUCUCGUUGAAGUAGUUAUAAUCUGUUCGAAUGAAACGAACUUGGAACAUCUCUGUUUUUAGUGGUGGAGGAACUUCCUGAAGAGCUCGGUACUGACGGGCCACCCUAUAUGGGUAAUAAGAAGUCGCACCAGAAAGACCCAGCAACGGGAUUGGCUCAUCAUGCUUGUGUGAGAAACGAACCUCCUCAACCCGGAACCAUUUAGUAUGCCAUAGGAAUGCCUUAGGAUUAUGAUUUUUUAAAAAAUUAAUCCAACGAGCGUACUGUUUAUUUGGAGAAAAACGCUCUAAGACCGCAAAUUUUUGUAUGGGGUGUCUAAAAUCAUCAAUCUUAAAUUGUUUUAUGAGAUGCCCAAAUCCUCUUAUGUGGGAGAAAAACCAUAUUUGUAAAAGUUCAGGGAGGGCACGCAUGGUCUUUUCUUCAUUUUGUUUGAAACGGUUUAAUGACAAAAAUGUUUCAGCUAAAACCAUAUUGACAUAAUUUAAACCGUCACAAACACAAUUAACCACCCAUGAAAUUGAAGGAUUAAUGGCAUUUCUUCGAUAAGGAAAAACAAUUAGCCCGAAAAAUGCUAACAUGAAGAUCCUAGCUUUUGAAAUCAUUGAUUGAUUUGCAAAACACUUUUCCAAAAACGAGAAUGGGCAUGCAAAAACAAUUGGCUUUGACAACUUUCCUUACUCUUUCGGCUUCGAUUUCUAAAAACUGUGAUAAUUCCGAAAUAGAAUCUAUAUUGAUAGGUGGUCUAACAAGCUCCUUUUCCAAGGACAUUCCAAUGGCAAUACUAUACUCUUCUAGUGUUGGAGUCAAUUCGUACUCACCAAAUAUGAAUGUGGAAGUUUGUGGACACCAGAAAUGAGGGAGUGCUUGUAUCACACUAGAGUGGAUGUUGAUCUCCAAUAAUGGGAGAAGUCGGGCAAUCCUAGUCUUCACAUACCUCUGGCCCUCUUGAUCUAACUGAUCCAGCCAUAUCUUGAGCUCUUUUUUGGGAGUGGAAAUGAAUUGUACAUCGGUUCUCCCCAUAACAUAUAAAACAAAACCGGCGACGAAACCUAUUGUCAUGGACCGACAAAAUUGCAAUAAAGUAAGUAAAUUGCGAAGUAAGAAUUUAGACAACUUACUUUCACCGGAAGGUAUGACAAGCACAUAGACACACACAUGAAAUGUGAGGCUCGAUUUCUAUCUAAAUGGCUUAACAAAGUGGAGCUAAGAGGAUGAUCUGACCGUUGCAGUCUUGCAUUAACGUGUCAGGACCCCCUAACUCCGGCUCAGUCGAAUGGAAUGUCCAAUAGUCACGCAGUCUCGCGGAUAUGGACAAACACAUUCGACACAAUGAAAAGACUUUCGGGGAAGAGAAGGUCAACCUCUACAUAGCGGUCUCGCUUUGGAGGAAGUAUCAUUCUCAACACCAUCCUAAAAAUCUUAUCGCAGCCCAGGUCCGGCCACAGGUUGUGUGUGCAAUAGUGUAGUGCAAAAAAAACAAUAAAACAUGCACAAUAUUUUAAAUGUAAACAACACUUCUAAUCAUGGAAAAAUAAAUCAUUAAUCCCACACUCCAUCCUGCAAGACAAAGGUUAGCACAGACUACUCCCCUUAUACCUCCCAUCUGCAAGAACAUUUAACACCUUAGAAAUGUUAGGGACGUACCUGGGAUCCUCGCUGCCAAACAAAAACAUUUUAAAAGAAAAAGAUAAAAAAUUGGCCUAAGUCCACUAAGUGUUUUAACACAAGUCCCCAGCGGAGUCGCCAAGCUGUCGCGACCUAAAUUUUCGGGUGCACCACCUAAAACUAGGUUAAUGGACUACUAAGUUUUUACACUUAGCUCGGGCUCUCCCAAGCCCAUACCAAAUCGCGACUUAAGUCUAAAUUUUUAAACAUGCAAGAGGUUAUUAUCUAGGAGUCGCCACUAAUCGGUUUAUGGUAGGUCGAUUAGACACUUAAGUAAAAUAAAGGGAGAUUUAUUUUACUCCUACGAACUAGAGACUGAGGGUACGGGGACUUGGUUACACUAGAAUUUUCUAAUGCCCUUUCGGUACCAUUUCUUUUUAAUUUUUCAAAAUGUUUUUGCAAGUAGAUUUAUUUUAACCUAAAUUACUAUCAUGCAAAUGUGAUGAUCACACGGGUGCUCAUCCAUUAUUUAAAACAUUCAAAUAAAUAAAUUGCAUCACACAAAGCAAGUAAUCAGUUUUUUUGGAUUUUCUUAAAAUUGGAGUUCUUUUAUAAAAAUGCAUUUUUUAACUAAAUGACUUAAUCCUAUUAAUAUGCAAAUUCUAAUUAAAUGGGUCAAUUAUGCAAAUUAAUUAACAUGCACCUCAUGACCUAAUUUUACUAAUGAACAAAUUCUGAUUAAAUGCCUCUAUUAUGCGAACUAGUUAACAUGUGCCUAGUAUUUUUGCAAUUUUUUUUAUUGGAAUUCAAAAUUUAUGAAAACCCUAAUUAACCUAUCUAAAAAGGGAUAAUUUUCUAAUUUAUUCUAGGGAUUAAUUUGACUUAAAUCCUAUCCUAUCUCAGAAAACUAUUUUUUUAUUUUAAAAAAAAAAGAGAAUGAGAAUAUGAAAAUGUGCCGAUUAUAUCUAAGACUCUAAAAAGGCUAUUUAAGUCUAAUCCUAACUUAUUUUUUAAAAUAUCUAAAAAUGCAGUCCUAAAAAUAUAAUCCUAAAAAUUUGAUUAAUUAAACCUAGAUGUCUAUUAUAUUAACCUUAAUGUCCUAAGCUCAUGCAAAGUUUUUUUUUGAAUAUUUUGAUUUUUGAUUUUUUAGUUUCUUUUUAGUUUUUUUUUUAAGUUGAAUAAUUGUUAAACAAUGGUUAAAUCUAAAGAAUUAAUAUAAUCACUAAAUAAAGGAUCAAAAUAAUCGGAAAAAUAACCUGACGUCUCACAGGUUAAAUUAACAAUUAUUCUAACCCUAAUCACCACAAUAACUUAAAAUAAUUAAAAAAUCUAGUCCGAAGUCUUAUGGACCAAAUUAAAUAAUUAUUAUGAUUUAACAAUUGAGAUUCUACCAAAAAGCCCAAAAAUUAAAAAAUAAUUAGAAAAAUGACCCGAUGUCUCUUGGAUCAAAUUAAUAAUUAUAUUAAUUUCGGACAGAAUUCCUACGGAUAAUGCAUACUAAAUUUACUAAUAUUAACAUCCACCAUUACAAAUUAAAUACCUAAACUAAAAAUGCUAUCAAAUGAAAUAAGCAAAAAUAACGUAACAAAUAAAAUAAACUAAACUAUAAAAGUAAAACAAAAUAAAAUAAAAAGAACAAAAAACUACCUAAAGGUAAAAGGGGGGGUAAACCGGACAGCGCUGGUCUGUCGUCGGGGCUCCGGCGGGGAGCGGCUGCAGGUGGACGGCGGCGGGCUUGAGCUCGGGGCAGCAGAGAUCGGUGGAGCAAGGGCACAGCGCGGGGUCCGUCGGGGCAGAGAAGGGUCGCGGCGACAGGGCGGGGGCUGAGGCGCGGUGGCGGAGUCGUCUGCGGUGCGGGGCUCGGGCGGAGGCGCGGUGGCGGAGUUGUCUGUGGUGCGGGGCUCGGGUCCAGUCGCGAGGGGCUGUUGGCUGCAGAUUCGACGGCGUCGACGGUUGCGAUGGUGGGCGCGAAGAGCGAAUCGGCGAGGUGGCGAGGCGCGACGGUGGCCGGCGUCGUGGUGCAGGCGCGGGCACGGGCUGGUGUCCACGCGAAGAAGAAGAAGAGUUGCUGCUGCUGCUUUUUCUUUUUUUCUUUCUUCUUUUUUUUCUGUCUCCUCACACGACGUCUCUCUGCUGUACCUUUCUGCAGAAACCAAAACUCACUUUUGGUGGACUUUGACUCAUGCAAAAAGGAAAAAUGAACAAUAGAAAUAGAAGAUGAUCCCCUUUGUACGAAUUCUCUUCCCUAUUUUUUUUAGCUCUCGCUCACUUUUCUUUUUCCUUGCACUUCUGCAGAUUGUCAGAAGAGAAGAAAAAUGACUUUUCUUGGACGACAAAGGAGGUUUCCUCUUCUUCUUUUUUCACUUUCACGAAUCCUCUCGGGUUUUCUUCUCACGAAAAUUUUCACAAAUUCCCCCAAUUUUUUCGCAACCCCCAACCUUGUGCAGGUCAACUCCUUUUUAUAAUGUUUUCGCACGGCCACUUUCUAUGGUAAAUUUCAAACUUCCAUCUUCUGUUGCAUUAAAUUAAGAAUGCAAAUCGGAGCAUGAUUUCGCAAUCAACUCGAUUUUGCGCCGAUUCCUUCCAUUUUAUAAAAAUCCUUGCCCUUUAUUUACCUGAUUUUAAAAUUGUUUCUACAUUUAACAAAAUCUGAAUAUUCAUCAGAAUUUUAAAAUUCCAUGCAUAAUCAAUCAAAUCAAUCUCCCUCAUUUUUUUUUUCAUUUUUUCCUUUUAUUUGUUCCAAUGCAAUUUUUAUUUUCUUUAUUUUCCUAGAUUUGCUAAAAAUAGGUGUCAACAUCCCCCGUCAUGUGAUUGAUACACCCACUAUCGAUGUACCAUGUUUCACUUUUAUUGUUAUUUGCUGCUUGGCCUGCGUAGAAUGUAUUCUCUUCACUUUCUUUUUUUUCUACAUAGUUUGCUCGAUUAUUUGUUUUCGAGCGACAAUCUUUUUCUACGUGGCCAUAUCUUUUACAAUAGUGGCAUUGUUUUUUAUUUUUAAACCAACAAUCCUUCUUAAAAUGAUUUGUUUUCUUGCAAAUACCACAAGGUGGAUAAUUUUCAUUUUUUAUAAUUUCUCCUCCGCUUUUGUUUUUCCAUGAGCUCCUUCCACCAUUUUUAGAUUGAUGACACCGUAUAUUUACUUUAGACUAAAAUGCACUUUCAACUGAAUCUUCAUCUUGUGCCAUUAGUCUUUUCUCAUAUGCUUCUAGAGAGCCAAUUAAUUCACUUAUUGAUAGGGUCAUCAAGUCUUUAGUUCCUUCUAUAGUUGUAACUAUGGAGUUGUAUUUUUUGGUAAGUGACACCAAUAUUUUCUCAACAACCCUUUGAUCAGUUAUCCCAUCUCCAUAGGCUCUCAUUUGAUUAACUAGUUCCUUUAAUUUUCCACAAUAUUCUUGUACGGUCUCAUAAUUUUUCAUUUUAGAAUUUUCAAAAUCUCUUCUUAGAGUUUGAAGGCGAAUAGUGCGUACCUUUUCCGAUCCUUGAAAUUCUUCUUGUAGUGUAUCCCAAGCCUCUUUUGCAGUCCUUGCUCCAAUAAUUCUUGGAAAUACGGUUUCCGAGAGUGCUUGUUGGAUAAAAUAUAGCGCCCUUGCAUCCUUUUGUAAUUGAUCCUUCGAAACACUUGCACCUUAUGGUGAAGCCUCGCAACCUUUUUCCACAAUGUCCCAUAAGUCUUGGGCCAUCAAGAAUGUAGUCAUUUUUAUGCUCCAAAAGUCAUAGUUGUUCCCAUCAAAAAUGAGAAUGGGAAAUGAGGAUGAGGUAGAAUUGGCCAUGGUUUAGUUAGUGGGUAUUUGGAAAGGGUAGUUUUAGGAGUGGGUAGGUAGGACAAACACCCAAUACCAACCAAAGACGUGGCUCCGAUACCACUGUUGGAAUUUGUGGAAGCGUGUGAUUAAUGUGUGUGCAAGUGUGUGAACUUUCAAGAGGGCUAAGGAAAGAACAAUAUGGGCAAGAAAAUAAUUUGCUGCAAGGGAACACAAGGGAACGAAAUAAAACCUUUUAUUUAUUGAUUUGUAGUACAAAGUACAAAGGAAGGGGAGGAGCUUACCUUUUUGCUCUGCCUUUCUACGCUCCCCCCUCCUUCCCUAUUUAUAGGGACACUCCACCGACUUAGCCCAUCUUCUAGGAGUUUCUUUUACAAUUUUUUUUCUAGAAAAAUAGGCUUUUUAAAGGCAAAUAUCUCUGCCAUUUUUAGAGAUAAUUCCAUAGAGUCUUCUAGAGUUUUUCUUGAAUUUUCUAGCUCAUAUUUAUCUCGAAGUUUCUAGAAAAUUUGAUCAAUAAUUU
This 21256-nucleotide long non-coding RNA is filed under the name Eucalyptus grandis. RNAcentral describes it as "long non-coding RNA (EGRA_LNC005984)". The record is from RNAcentral. Lineage: Eukaryota; Viridiplantae; Streptophyta; Magnoliopsida; Myrtales; Myrtaceae.